GCGUUCUUAGCUCAGCUGGUAGAGCAACUGACUCUUAAUCAGUGGGUCCAGGGUUCGAAUCCCUGAGAGCGUACCA
RNAcentral lists this transfer RNA (76 nucleotides) under Bacteroidaceae bacterium. Its description in RNAcentral is "tRNA-Lys". It matches the Rfam family "tRNA". Rfam says of the family: Transfer RNA (tRNA) molecules are approximately 80 nucleotides in length. The record is from RNAcentral. Lineage: Bacteria; Pseudomonadati; Bacteroidota; Bacteroidia; Bacteroidales; Bacteroidaceae.